UUUAUGGGGCACGAUUUAGU
RNAcentral lists this non-coding RNA (20 nucleotides) under Arabidopsis thaliana (thale cress). Lineage: Eukaryota; Viridiplantae; Streptophyta; Magnoliopsida; Brassicales; Brassicaceae. The record is from RNAcentral.